ACGUACAAGCAGUAGGAGCAGGCUUUGUCCUGUGACUGCGUACCUUUUGUAUAAUGGGUCAGCGACUUAUAUUCAGUGGCAAGGUUAACCAUCUAGGGGAGCCGUAGGGAAACCGAGUCUUAACUGGGCGUUCAGUCUCUGGAUAUAGACCCGAAACCAGGUGAUCUAGCCAUGGGCAGGUUGAAGGUUGAGUAACAUCAACUGGAGGACCGAACCGACUAAUGUUGAAAAAUUAGCGGAUGACUUGUGGCUAGGGGUGAAAGGCCAAUCAAACCUGGAGAUAGCUGGUUCUCCCCGAAAGCUAUUUAGGUAGCGCCUCGGACGAAUACUACUGGGGGUAGAGCACUGUUAAGGCUAGGGGGUCAUCCCGACUUACCAACCCUUUGCAAACUCCGAAUACCAGUAAGUACUAUCCGGGAGACACACGGCGGGUGCUAACGUCCGUCGUGGAGAGGGAAACAACCCAGACCGCCAGCUAAGGUCCCAAAUUACUACUAAGUGGGAAACGAUGUGGGAAGGCUCAGACAGCCAGGAUGUUGGCUUAGAAGCAGCCAUCAUUUAAAGAAAGCGUAAUAGCUCACUGGUCGAGUCGGCCUGCGCGGAAGAUGUAACGGGGCUAAGUAGUAAACCGAAGCUGCGGCAAUGUGCUUUUGCACAUUGGGUAGGGGAGCGUUCUGUAAGCGGUUGAAGGUGUGUGGUAACGCAUGCUGGACGUAUCAGAAGUGCGAAUGCUGACAUGAGUAACGAUAAAGGGGGUGAAAAACCUCCUCGCCGGAAGACCAAGGGUUCCUGUCCAACGUUAAUCGGGGCAGGGUAAGUCGACCCCUAAGGCGAGGCCGAAAGGCGUAGUCGAUGGGAAACGGGUUAAUAUUCCCGUACUUCUUACAAUUGCGAUGGGGGGACGGAGAAGGCUAGGUGGGCCUGGCGACGGUUGUCCAGGUUCAAGUGCGUAGGCUUGAGAGUUAGGUAAAUCCGGCUCUUUUUAAGGCUGAGACACGACGUCGAGCCACUACGGUGGUGAAGUCAUUGAUGCCAUGCUUCCAGGAAAAGCCUCUAAGCUUCAGAUUGUAAGGAAUCGUACCCCAAACCGACACAGGUGGUCGGGUAGAGAAUACCAAGGCGCUUGAGAGAACUCGGGUGAAGGAACUAGGCAAAAUGGUACCGUAACUUCGGGAGAAGGUACGCUCUCGACGGUGAAGUCCCUCGCGGAUGGAGCUAUUGAGAGUCGCAGUAAUUGAUGGGGUUAGACUUCGGUCGAAGCUCUUGAUCGAAGCCCCGGUAAACGGCGGCCGUAACUAUAACGGUCCUAAGGUAGCGAAAUUCCUUGUCGGGUAAGUUCCGACCUGCACGAAUGGCGUAAUGAUGGCCACGCUGUCUCCACCCGAGACUCAGUGAAAUUGAAAUCGCUGUGAAGAUGCAGUGUACCCGCGGCUAGACGGAAAGACCCCGUGAACCUUUACUACAGCUUGGCACUGAACAUUGACCCUACAUGUGUAGGAUAGGUGGGAGGCUUUGAAGCACGUACGCCAGUAUGUGUGGAGCCGUCCUUGAAAUACCACCCUUGUAGUGUUGAUGUUCUAACGUCGACCCCUUAUCGGGGUUGCGGACAGUGCCUGGUGGGUAGUUUGACUGGGGCGGUCUCCUCCCAAAGAGUAACGGAGGAGCACGAAGGUGGGCUAAUCACGGUUGGACAUCGUGAGGUUAGUGCAAUGGCAUAAGCCCGCUUGACUGCGAGAAUGACAAUUCGAGCAGGUGCGAAAGCAGGUCAUAGUGAUCCGGUGGUUCUGAAUGGAAGGGCCAUCGCUCAACGGAUAAAAGGUACUCCGGGGAUAACAGGCUGAUACCGCCCAAGAGUUCAUAUCGACGGCGGUGUUUGGCACCUCGAUGUCGGCUCAUCACAUCCUGGGGCUGAAGUCGGUCCCAAGGGUAUGGCUGUUCGCCAUUUAAAGUGGUACGCGAGCUGGGUUUAGAACGUCGUGAGACAGUUCGGUCCCUAUCUGCCGUGGGCGUUGGAAGAUUGAAGGGGGCUGCU
RNAcentral lists this ribosomal RNA (2032 nucleotides) under Vibrio parahaemolyticus. Its description in RNAcentral is "partial 23S ribosomal RNA". It matches the Rfam family "Bacterial large subunit ribosomal RNA", at positions 562 to 2676 of the family's 2925-position model. The record is from RNAcentral. Lineage: Bacteria; Pseudomonadati; Pseudomonadota; Gammaproteobacteria; Vibrionales; Vibrionaceae.